Molecule: ribosomal RNA, 884 nt
Filed under: Acinetobacter baumannii
Lineage: Bacteria; Pseudomonadati; Pseudomonadota; Gammaproteobacteria; Moraxellales; Moraxellaceae
Description: bacterial SSU rRNA
Rfam family: Bacterial small subunit ribosomal RNA
Source: RNAcentral
ACCUGGCUCAGAUUGAACGCUGGCGGCAGGCUUAACACAUGCAAGUCGAGCGGGGGAAGGUAGCUUGCUACUGGACCUAGCGGCGGACGGGUGAGUAAUGCUUAGGAAUCUGCCUAUUAGUGGGGGACAACAUCUCGAAAGGGAUGCUAAUACCGCAUACGUCCUACGGGAGAAAGCAGGGGAUCUUCGGACCUUGCGCUAAUAGAUGAGCCUAAGUCGGAUUAGCUAGUUGGUGGGGUAAAGGCCUACCAAGGCGACGAUCUGUAGCGGGUCUGAGAGGAUGAUCCGCCACACUGGGACUGAGACACGGCCCAGACUCCUACGGGAGGCAGCAGUGGGGAAUAUUGGACAAUGGGGGGAACCCUGAUCCAGCCAUGCCGCGUGUGUGAAGAAGGCCUUAUGGUUGUAAAGCACUUUAAGCGAGGAGGAGGCUACUUUAGUUAAUACCUAGAGAUAGUGGACGUUACUCGCAGAAUAAGCACCGGCUAACUCUGUGCCAGCAGCCGCGGUAAUACAGAGGGUGCGAGCGUUAAUCGGAUUUACUGGGCGUAAAGCGUGCGUAGGCGGCUUAUUAAGUCGGAUGUGAAAUCCCCGAGCUUAACUUGGGAAUUGCAUUCGAUACUGGUGAGCUAGAGUAUGGGAGAGGAUGGUAGAAUUCCAGGUGUAGCGGUGAAAUGCGUAGAGAUCUGGAGGAAUACCGAUGGCGAAGGCAGCCAUCUGGCCUAAUACUGACGCUGAGGUACGAAAGCAUGGGGAGCAAACAGGAUUAGAUACCCUGGUAGUCCAUGCCGUAAACGAUGUCUACUAGCCGUUGGGGCCUUUGAGGCUUUAGUGGCGCAGCUAACGCGAUAAGUAGACCGCCUGGGGAGUACGGUCGCGAGACU